ACAACCUUCAGACCGUCGGUCUACCGAGCAAUAUCACCCGCUCGGUGAAAUAUCUUCCCUUUCGUCGU
Molecule: microRNA precursor, 68 nt
Filed under: Bombyx mori (domestic silkworm)
Lineage: Eukaryota; Metazoa; Arthropoda; Insecta; Lepidoptera; Bombycidae
Description: mir-2774 microRNA precursor family
Rfam family: mir-2774 microRNA precursor family
Source: Rfam by way of RNAcentral